Molecule: ribosomal RNA, 484 nt
Filed under: uncultured bacterium
Lineage: Bacteria
Description: partial 16S ribosomal RNA
Rfam family: Bacterial small subunit ribosomal RNA
Source: RNAcentral
AUUGAACGCUGGCGGCAUGCUUUACACAUGCAAGUCGAGCGGCAGCGCGGGCUUCGGCCUGGCGGCGAGUGGCGAACGGGUGAGUAAUACAUCGGAACGUGCCCAGUAGUGGGGGAUAGCUCGGCGAAAGCCGGAUUAAUACCGCAUACGACCUGAGGGUGAAAGCGGGGGAUCUUCGGACCUCGCGCUAUUGGAGCGGCCGAUGGCGGAUUAGCUAGUUGGUGGGGUAAAGGCCUACCAAGGCGACGAUCUGUAGCUGGUCUGAGAGGACGACCAGCCACACUGGGACUGAGACACGGCCCAGACUCCUACGGGAGGCAGCAGUGGGGAAUUUUGGGCAAAGGGCGAAAGCCUGAUCCAGCAAUGCCGCGUGUGUGAUGAAGGCCUUCGGGUUGUAAAGCACUUUUGGCGGGAACGAAAAGGACUGUGCCAAUACCACGGUUCGAUGACGGUACCCGCAGAAUAAGCACCGGCUAACUACGUG